Long non-coding RNA from Rhodamnia argentea, 102 nucleotides. RefSeq lists it as uncharacterized. The transcript is spliced from 3 exons. The record is from RefSeq and is a predicted model, not a curated record. Lineage: Eukaryota; Viridiplantae; Streptophyta; Magnoliopsida; Myrtales; Myrtaceae.
UCACUUGAGUGCUACAGAAACUUUUCAAUCGAUAACUUUUGUGUCAUAACUUUUUAGAAACAUUCACCACAAGUGCUCCGUCACGUUGGAUUUUCGGCACUU